Molecule: ribosomal RNA, 119 nt
Filed under: Petromyzon marinus (sea lamprey)
Lineage: Eukaryota; Metazoa; Chordata; Hyperoartia; Petromyzontiformes; Petromyzontidae
Source: RNAcentral
UCUAAAGGCCAUGCCACCCUGAAUGGGCCCGAUCCCGUCAGAUCUCGGUAGCCGAGCAGUGUUGAGACCAGGGUUAAUACUUGGACGGGAGACUGCCUUAGGAAUACCGUGUGUUACAG